AAGUCGUAACAAGGUUUCCGUAGGUGAACCUGCGGAAGGAUCAUUAUCGAAUGUAUCUACAAGUCGGUUGUAGCUGGCUCUCUGGAGCAGGUGCUCGCCGCUUGUCUUUACUACCUUUCCACUUUGUGAACCUUUGUAGACCUCGAAUGAAGUCGCCUGAAAUGGUGGACCAAAGGGAACUGUCCUCGGGCAUUCCCUUGAUUAGUAGUAGUAGUUCGUGGUCUAUGUCCUUAUCAUUUACUCUUGACUGAAUGUUAUUGAAUGUGAAUUUACUGGUCUCUUCUGGACCUUUAAAACUUUAUACAA
RNAcentral lists this unclassified non-coding RNA (306 nucleotides) under plant metagenome. RNAcentral describes it as "partial contains small subunit ribosomal RNA and internal transcribed spacer 1". The stretch from base 1 to 46 matches the Rfam family "Eukaryotic small subunit ribosomal RNA", at positions 1786 to 1831 of the family's 1831-position model. The record is from RNAcentral.